AUACGGAGGGUGUAAGCGUUGUCCGGAUUUAUUGGGUUUAAAGGGUGCGUAGGUGGCGUGUGAAGUCAGUGGUGAAAGCCUGCAGCUCAACUGUAGAGGUGCCAUUGAUACUGACAUGCUUGAGUAUGGACGAGGUAGGCGGAAUUUGUGGUGUAGCGGUGAAAUGCAUAGAUACCACAAAGAACACCGAUAGCGAAGGCAGCUUACUGGACCAUAACUGACACUGAGGCACGAAAGUGUGGGUAGCGAACAGGAUUAGAAACCCUAGUAGUCC
RNAcentral lists this ribosomal RNA (274 nucleotides) under uncultured bacterium. RNAcentral's name for it is "partial 16S ribosomal RNA". It matches the Rfam family "Bacterial small subunit ribosomal RNA", at positions 523 to 796 of the family's 1533-position model. The record is from RNAcentral.